Long non-coding RNA from Acanthaster planci (crown-of-thorns starfish), 1309 nucleotides. The record is from RefSeq and is a predicted model, not a curated record. NCBI's taxonomy places the organism in Eukaryota, Metazoa, Echinodermata, Asteroidea, Valvatida, Acanthasteridae.
ACUGAAAAAGAAUAAAGGGGGCAUGUUUCAACAAUGGUGUGAGUACAUAUAAUCUUUUUUUUCCUGGGGUGAGAAUGUAUUCCACGGUAGCAGUGUGACCCUAACAAGUUGAGCAAAAUUCAGUGAAUAAGAAAAAUGUGUUUAUGGCCUUGUAAAAGAACUACAAAUAGGCAUUGCGCUGGGGAAAUAUACAUGUGCGUCAUGGUCACUUGUGGGCGGCUGGUGCUUUACGUAUCCCACAUGCUCUUACCAAGAUAAAUACAAACAAACUAACAUGAAAAGACCCCUCCCCAAUACAAUCAACAAAUUUGGCCUGGUUAUGUUUCAUUUUGCAGCCGAUCAUUGCUGUGGUGCAACUGGGGUACAUUUUGCAGGGAGCACUUGGGAGCCCUCAUUUUCUGGAGGGAGCACUCAUUUUCUGGAGGGAGCACUCACUGGGUUUAGUGGCAGUUAAACACUGACCAGACUGACCGCUGUCACCAGAUUCUUUUAAUUCCCUUGUUCAAUUUUUGAGGGGGGGAACAGGCUUUGAGUGGGGGCUGGUGCCUCCAUGCCCUCCCCCCUUUAAGUACGCCCCUUGCCCUUAGAUAUUUAAAUUGACCGUUUAUACACCUUGAGGUUCAUUGUUGGGAAGAACUAUACUGUAGGUUAAAAUGAAAAAGUAAGAAAAAGCAACUGUAAGCUUAAACCCCACCCAAAGAGAUGGAGAUUAUUGAUGACAUGACUUCUUAAUGUGGAGUUGGGAUAUAGUCGAUGUUGGACAUGGUACAGUUCUAAUUCUUUAUAUUUCAAAGAUUCAUUACAUGUCAUAGCUACAGCAAAGUAAACAUGACAAUAAGGACUCACCACACGACGAGUCGGUGUCUUUGGGACCUGUACAUCGAGAAAAAGAGGGAAACGUAUAAAUCGCAUUUACAGGGGAGUUAAGUUGAAAUUACAGGCCGACAAAAGACGAAUGACUGAAAAUAAGGGAGAGAAGUUCUAAACAUUUCACUGACUGAUAAAAUGCUGAAGACGUGGAAUAAAAUGUUAAUGUGAGAAGCUGUGAUGCAAAAGGACACAGCAGUCUAAAAACUGAUCGAAAAUUGACGAAGGAUGCGGAGACUGCACUCAAAAUUGGAAAUGAACACAAACGUUUCACUAAACACGUGGAGAAACCGCUUGCCUGUCGUCAUUUGACAGCUUAUGGACAUGAUGAAAAGUGCUCGUUUGAAGUUGAGCCUGCAAGCCUAGCCUGCAGACAGAAAAGAUGAGAAACGAAAGUUGAGAAAAUGUCAAGGGUGAGUGUACAUGGUUUGCCUAGUUGCAG